GCAGGAAAGCAGGGGACCGCAAGGCCUUGCGCUCUUUGAGCGGCCGAUGUCAGAUUAGCUAGUUGGUGAGGUAAAGGCUUACCAAGGCGACGAUCUGUAGCGGGUCUGAGAGGAUGAUCCGCCACACUGGAACUGAGACACGGUCCAGACUCCUACGGGAGGCAGCAGUGGGGAAUUUUGGACAAUGGGGGCAACCCUGAUCCAGCCAUGCCGCGUGAGUGAAGAAGGCCUUCGGGUUGUAAAGCUCUUUCGGCCGGGAAGAAAUCGCAUGGGCCAAUACCCUGUGUGGAUGACGGUACCGGAAUAAGAAGCACCGGCUAACUACGUGCCAGCAGCCGCGGUAAUACGUAGGGUGCGAGCGUUAAUCGGAAUUACUGGGCGUAAAGCGUGCGCAGGCGGUUUUGUAAGACAGGCGUGAAAUCCCCGGGCUUAACCUGGGAACUGCGUUUGUGACUGCAAGGCUAGAGUACGGCAGAGGGGGGUGGAAUUCCACGUGUAGCAGUGAAAUGCGUAGAGAUGUGGAGGAACACCAAUGGCGAAGGCAGCCCCCUGGGUCGAUACUGACGCUCAUGCACGAAAGCGUGGGUAGCAAACAGGAUUAGAUACCCUGGUAGUCCACGCCCUAAACUAUGUCAACUAGGUGUUGGGUGGGUAAAACCAUUUAGUACCGUAGCUAACGCGUGAAGUUGACCGCCUGGGGAGUACGGCCGCAAGGUUAAAACUCAAAGGAAUUGACGGGGACCCGCACAAGCGGUGGAUGAUGUGGAUUAAUUCGAUGCAACGCGAAAAACCUUACCUACCCUUGACAUGCCAGGAACUUGCCAGAGAUGGCUUGGUGCCCGAAAGGGAGCCUGGACACAGGUGCUGCAUGGCUGUCGUCAGCUCGUGUCGUGAGAUGUUGGGUUAAGUCCCGCAACGAGCGCAACCCUUGUCGUUAAUUGCCAUCAUUUAGUUGGGCACUUUAACGAGACUGCCGGUGACAAACCGGAGGAAGGUGGGGAUGACGUCAAGUCCUCAUGGCCCUUAUGGGUAGGGCUUCACACGUCAUACAAUGGUCGGUACAAAGGGUUGCCAAGCCGCGAGGCGGAGCCAAUCCCAGAAAGCCGAUCGUAGUCCGGAUUGCAGGCUGCAACUCGCCUGCAUGAAGUCGGAAUCGCUAGUAAUCGUGGAUCAGCAUGUCACGGUGAAUACGUUCCCGGGUCUUGUACACACCGCCCGUCACACCAUGGGAGCGGGUUCCGCCAGAAGUAGGUAGCCUAACCGCAAGGGGGGCGCUUACCACGGCGGGGUUCGUGACUGGGGUGAAGUCGUAACAAGGUAGCCGUAGGGGAACCUGCGGCUG
This 1342-nucleotide ribosomal RNA is filed under the name metagenome. RNAcentral describes it as "bacterial SSU rRNA". It matches the Rfam family "Bacterial small subunit ribosomal RNA", at positions 198 to 1520 of the family's 1533-position model. The record is from RNAcentral.